This 252-nucleotide ribosomal RNA is filed under the name uncultured bacterium. Its description in RNAcentral is "partial 16S ribosomal RNA". It matches the Rfam family "Bacterial small subunit ribosomal RNA", at positions 524 to 776 of the family's 1533-position model. The record is from RNAcentral.
UACGUACGUCCCGAGCGUUGUCCGGAUUUAUUGGGCGUAAAGCGAGCGCAGGUGGUUUAUUAAGUCUGGUGUAAAAGGCAGUGGCUCAACCAUUGUAUGCAUUGGAAACUGGUAGACUUGAGUGCAGGAGAGGAGAGUGGAAUUCCAUGUGUAGCGGUGAAAUGCGUAGAUAUAUGGAGGAACACCGGUGGCGAAAGCGGCUCUCUGGCCUGUAACUGACACUGAGGCUCGAAAGCGUGGGGAGCAAACAGG